CUUCAUAACUGGUUUCUGGAGUUCUUUUAAAGGUUUUUUGGACAAAUAUAUGUUGCUAAGUCAGUGCUUCUGUGGGGCAGUGAGGUCUGCGGCUUCUUUUUUUUUUUUUUUUUUUGAGAUGGAGUCUGCGGCUUCUUAUACUACCAAACAGCUGACAUUAUCCGUGAUAAAAGCUCACGUUUUUAAUAUCAAAACCAGAUUAUUCAUGUAAUAAUAUGACUUCCAUGAUUUUUAUGAAGACCUUAGAAGGCAUCACUGUCAUCCUUCCUUCAAGAAAAAAGAAAAACGGAACAAACUAAAAAUCGAAAAGCAUUCUUAAGUGCAUCCUAGAAUUAAGGUUACAUAACGGACUGAUGCUCUUAAAAGCAGAGAGACUUUCAAAUACAGAAAGUUGCAGCUCACCAAGAACAGAAGAUGCUAGAAGAGGAAGAAGAGGAAAACUUAAACGGUUGCUGAUCAAGUGUUGGUCACGUUGUGUGUAGAAGCUUCAGAGUUAAAAACUACUGAAGAUUCAGCCUUAAGGGUCACUGUAGUGAGCUUUAUCCCCAGGAGCUCAUCCAGAUUCUCACGGUGAAAAUAUGAAAAAAGCCCCUCAUGCUUCAGCAAAAGGAGAGGAAAACUAACCAUCAUGGCGAAUGCUCAUGAGAAAGUAACUAAUUUGAAAUAUACUAAAAGAUUAUUUUUCUCUGUCCUCAAAGGAAACCACUUUGCACGAAGUUAACUAAAGUAAAGAUCACCCAGGAAAACAGAAAAAUUUACUGGGGAAACACCUUUAUUCCCACUCAUGUUGAAUGUGAGCACACAUUCAUGAAGACUGAUUCCACCCAGACUUAUGACUGAUGACUCAACAGAUUCUGUGGCCCCACCCAGAGGCACAUAGGGACCAUUUUCCACACUCCUAUGAUUUCAUCCUCAACCAAUCAGCAGCACUUGUUCCCUGGCCUACUGCCCACCAAAUUGCCCAUAAAAACUCUAAUCUUUGAGCCUUCCUGGAGACUGAUCUGAUUUAAGUGGUAACUCCAGUUCUCCCAUGUGGGCUGGCCUCUUGACAAUAAAACUCUACUGCAAUA
This is a long non-coding RNA of Pan troglodytes (chimpanzee), 1070 nucleotides long. RefSeq lists it as uncharacterized. Lineage: Eukaryota; Metazoa; Chordata; Mammalia; Primates; Hominidae. The record is from RefSeq and is a predicted model, not a curated record. The transcript is spliced from 4 exons.